UACGUAGGGUGCGAGCGUUAAUCGGAAUUACUGGGCGUAAAGCGUGCGCAGGCGGUUCGUUAAGUUCGAUGUGAAAGCCCCGGGCUCAACCUGGGAACUGCAUUGGAAACUGGCUAGCUUGAGUAUGGCAGAGGGGGGUGGAAUUCCGCGUGUAGCAGUGAAAUGCGUAGAGAUGCGGAGGAACACCGAUGGCGAAGGCAGCCCCCUGGGCCAAUACUGACGCUCAGGCACGAAAGCGUGGGGAGCAAACAGG
This 253-nucleotide ribosomal RNA is filed under the name uncultured bacterium. RNAcentral's name for it is "partial 16S ribosomal RNA". It matches the Rfam family "Bacterial small subunit ribosomal RNA", at positions 524 to 776 of the family's 1533-position model. The record is from RNAcentral.